AGAGUUUGAUCCUGGCUCGGACGAACGCUGGCGGCGUGCUUAACACAUGCAAGUCGAACGGUAAGGCCCCUUCGGGGGUACACGAGUGGCGAACGGGUGAGUAACACGUGAGCAACCUGCCCUUGACACUGGAAUAACAGUUGGAAACAGCUGCUAAUGCCAGAUAUGACCUUCGGUGGCAUCACCCGAAGGUGGAAAGUGCUUAGCGGUCAAGGAUGGGCUCGCGGCCUAUCAGCUUGUUGGUGAGGUAACGGCUCACCAAGGUAACGAUCCGUAGCCGGCCUGAGAGGGCGGUCGGCCACACUGACACUGACAUACGGGUCAGACUCCUACGGGAGGCAGCAGUCGGGAAUUUUGGGCAAUGGGCGAAAGCCUGACCCAGCAACGCCGCGUGAAGGAUGAAAUCCCUCGGGAUGUAAACUUCGCAAGAAUGGGAAGAAUGAACGAGCGCUAAUACCGUUCGUGAUGACGGUACCAUUUGUAAGCUCCGGCUAACUCCGUGCCAGCAGCCGCGGUAAUACGGGGGGAGCAAGCGUUGUUCGGAUUUACUGGGCGUAAAGGGCGCGUAGGCGGCCAGCGCAAGUCAGUUGUGAAAUCUCCGGGCUUAACUCGGAAAGGUCAACUGAUACUGCGCGGCUAGAGUGCGGAAGGGGCAACUGGAAUUCUCGGUGUAGCGGUGAAAUGCGUAGAUAUCGAGAGGAACACCUGCGGCGAAGGCGGGUUGCUGGGCCGACACUGACGCUGAGGCGCGAAAGCUAGGGGAGCGAACGGGAUUAGAUACCCCGGUAGUCCUAGCCUUAAACGAUGAAUGCUUGGUGUCUGGGGUUAUAUAGUCCCCGGGUGCCGUCGCUAACGCUUUAAGCAUUCCGCCUGGGGAGUACGGUCGCAAGACGAAACUCAAAGGAAUGACGAAGGCGAAUCGUACCCAGCC
Molecule: ribosomal RNA, 931 nt
Filed under: uncultured bacterium
Lineage: Bacteria
Description: bacterial SSU rRNA
Rfam family: Bacterial small subunit ribosomal RNA
Source: RNAcentral